CAGCGCCACAAGUGGGAAUCAUGUUUAUUUGGCCUAAAGCGUCCGUAGCCGGCCGCGUAAAUCCUUUGUGAAAUCAUCGGGCUUAACCCGAUGGCGUGCAGAGGACACUGCGUAGCUUGGAACCGGGAGGAGUCAGAGGUAUGGGACGGGGAGCGGUAAAAUGCGAUAAUCCGUCCUAGACCACCUGUGGCGAAGGCGUCUGACUAGAACGGAUUCGACGGUGAGGGACGAAAGCCAGGGGAGCGAUCCGGAUUAGAUACCCGAGUAGUCC
This 271-nucleotide ribosomal RNA is filed under the name uncultured archaeon. RNAcentral describes it as "partial 16S ribosomal RNA". It matches the Rfam family "Archaeal small subunit ribosomal RNA", at positions 477 to 747 of the family's 1478-position model. The record is from RNAcentral.